RNAcentral lists this small nuclear RNA (146 nucleotides) under Sorex araneus (European shrew). RNAcentral's name for it is "U2 spliceosomal RNA (ENSSARG00000020180.1)". The stretch from base 1 to 102 matches the Rfam family "U2 spliceosomal RNA". Rfam says of the family: U2 is a small nuclear RNA (snRNA) component of the spliceosome (involved in pre-mRNA splicing). Complementary binding between U2 snRNA (in an area lying towards the 5' end but 3' to hairpin I) and the branchpoint sequence (BPS) of the intron results the bulging out of an unpaired adenosine, on the BPS, which initiates a nucleophilic attack at the intronic 5' splice site, thus starting the first of two transesterification reactions that mediate splicing. The record is from RNAcentral. Lineage: Eukaryota; Metazoa; Chordata; Mammalia; Eulipotyphla; Soricidae.
AUCGCUUCUCGGCCUUUUGGCUAAGAUCAAGUGUAGUAUCUGAUUAGCUACCACUGAUCUCUCUAUUAAUGAAGGAUGGUAUAGAUUUAGGCACGAAUCAAAAGACUAAUUUGAUAAUCCCAGAUCCUACCAAAAGAGGAACUAUA